This 409-nucleotide ribosomal RNA is filed under the name uncultured bacterium. RNAcentral describes it as "bacterial SSU rRNA". It matches the Rfam family "Bacterial small subunit ribosomal RNA", at positions 29 to 415 of the family's 1533-position model. The record is from RNAcentral.
AACGAACGCUGGCGGCGUGCCUAACACAUGCAAGUCGUGCGAGAAAGGUUCCUUCGGGAACCGAGUAAAGCGGCGCACGGGUGAGUAACACGUAGGUAAUCUGCCCCUAUGUCUGGAACAACUGGAGGAAACUUCAGCUAAUGCCGGAUGAGACCACGGCCCCUCGGUAGGCUGCGGCCAAGGCAAUGGCCUCUACUUGUAAGCUAUCGCUGAGGGAUGAGCCUGCGGGCCAUUAGCUUGUUGGUGAGGUAACGGCUCACCAAGGCUGUGAUGGCUAGCUGGUCUGAGAGGAUGACCAGCCACACUGGGGACUGAGACACGGCCCCAGACUCCUACGGGAGGCAGCAGUGGGGAAUAUUGCGCAAUGGGCGAAAGCCUGACGCAGCGACGCCGCGCGGGUGAUGAAGGG